AGUGGCGCACGGGUGAGUAACACGUAGGUAACCUACCCCUCGGUGGGGGAUAACCUUCCGAAAGGAGGGCUAAUACCGCGUACGAUCUCGAGGGCGAGAGUCUUCGAGAGGAAAGCCGGCCUCUUCAUGAAAGCUGGCGCCGAGGGAUGGGCCUGCGCCCCAUCAGCUUGUUGGCAGGGUAACGGCCUACCAAGGCGACGACGGGUAGCUGGUCUGAGAGGAUGAUCAGCCACACUGGAACUGAGACACGGUCCAGACUCCUACGGGAGGCAGCAGUGGGGAAUCUUGCGCAAUGGGCGAAAGCCUGACGCAGCGACGCCGCGUGAGCGAUGAAGGCCCUAGGGUUGUAAAGCUCUGUGGAGUGGGACGAAUUAGCGCGGGCUAAUACCUCGCGUGAUGACGGUACCUCUUUAGCAAGCACCGGCUAACUCUGUGCCAGCAGCCGCGGUAAGACAGAGGGUGCGAACGU
RNAcentral lists this ribosomal RNA (469 nucleotides) under uncultured bacterium. RNAcentral describes it as "bacterial SSU rRNA". It matches the Rfam family "Bacterial small subunit ribosomal RNA", at positions 94 to 541 of the family's 1533-position model. The record is from RNAcentral.